This 378-nucleotide unclassified non-coding RNA is filed under the name plant metagenome. Its description in RNAcentral is "partial contains 5.8S ribosomal RNA, internal transcribed spacer 2, and large subunit ribosomal RNA". The stretch from base 1 to 105 matches the Rfam family "5.8S ribosomal RNA", at positions 50 to 154 of the family's 154-position model. The record is from RNAcentral.
GAAAUGCGAUAAGUAAUGUGAAUUGCAGAAUUCAGUGAAUCAUCGAAUCUUUGAACGCACCUUGCGCUCCUUGGUAUUCCUUGGAGCAUGCCUGUUUGAGUAUCAUGAAAUCUUCAAAGUAAAUCUUUUGUUAACUCAAUUGGUAUCUACUUUGGUAUUGGAGGUCUUUGCAGCUUCACACCUGCUCCUCUUUGUUCAUUAGCUGGAUCUCAGUGUUAUGCUUGGUUCCACUCGGCGUGAUAAGUUAUCUAUCGCUGAGGACACUGUAAAAGGUGGCCAAGGUAAAUGCAGAUGAACCGCUUCUAAUAGUCCAUUGACUUGGACAAUACUUUUAUGAUCUGAUCUCAAAUCAGGUAGGACUACCCGCUGAACUUAAGC